Molecule: small RNA, 197 nt
Filed under: Proteus vulgaris
Lineage: Bacteria; Pseudomonadati; Pseudomonadota; Gammaproteobacteria; Enterobacterales; Morganellaceae
Description: GlmZ_SraJ
Rfam family: Glm Y RNA activator of glmS mRNA (bases 3-163)
About the family: This family consists of a number of bacterial RNA genes of around 167 bases in length.
Source: RNAcentral
UCAGUUGCUCAUUCAACUUUUUAUGUCGGUCCACAAUAUGGGUGGGAACAUACCACAUAAGCCAGGAAUGACGCCAGAGUAAGGUGCCUACCGUCCAACAUCAUGAUACUCGUCUUCGGACCUUAUCAAACACAGGGCGACACGUGGAGUGAGGCACCACCUUCAUUCUCUUUUAGAGAGAAAAGAGAUGAAAUCUU